Molecule: ribosomal RNA, 388 nt
Filed under: uncultured bacterium
Lineage: Bacteria
Description: bacterial SSU rRNA
Rfam family: Bacterial small subunit ribosomal RNA
Source: RNAcentral
GACGAACGCUGGCGGCGUGCUUAACACAUGCAAGUCGAGCGGUAAGGCCCUUUCGGGGGUACACGAGCGGCGAACGGGUGAGUAACACGUGGGUGACCUGCCCUCAGCUCUGGGAUAAGCCUGGGAAACUGGGUCUAAUACCGGAUAUGACUCCAUGGCGCAUGUUGUGGGGUGGAAAGCCUUGUGCGGCUGAGGAUGGGCCCGCGGCCUAUCAGCUUGUUGGUGGGUGAGGCCUACCAAGGCGACGACGGGUAGCCGGCCUGAGAGGGCGACCGGCCACACUGGGACUGAGACACGGCCCAGACUCCUACGGGAGGCAGCAGUGGGGAAUCUUGCGCAAUGGGCGAAAGCCUGACGCAGCGACGCCGCGUGAGGGAUGACGGCCUGG